RNAcentral lists this ribosomal RNA (505 nucleotides) under uncultured bacterium. RNAcentral describes it as "partial 16S ribosomal RNA". It matches the Rfam family "Bacterial small subunit ribosomal RNA", at positions 28 to 507 of the family's 1533-position model. The record is from RNAcentral.
GACGAACGCUGGCGGCGUGCCUAAUACAUGCAAGUAGAACGCACAGUUUAUACCGUAGCUUGCUACACCAUAGACUGUGAGUUGCGAACGGGUGAGUAACGCGUAGGUAACCUGCCUGGUAGCGGGGGAUAACUAUUGGAAACGAUAGCUAAUACCGCAUAAUAUUGAUUAUUGCAUGAUAAUUGAUUGAAAGAUGCUAUUGCAUCACUACCAGAUGGACCUGCGUUGUAUUAGCUAGUAGGUGAGGUAACGGCUCACCUAGGCGACGAUACAUAGCCGACCUGGGAGGGUGGUCGGCCACACUGGGACUGGGACACGGCCCAGACUCCUACGGGAGGCAGCAGUAGGGAAUCUUCGGCAAUGGACGAAAGUCUGACCGAGCAACGCCGCGUGAGUGAAGAAGGUUUUCGGAUCGUAAAGCUCUGUUGUAAGAGAAGAACGGGUGUGAGAGUGGAAAGUUCACACUGUGACGGUAUCUUACCAGAAAGGGACGGCUAACUACGUG